Molecule: ribosomal RNA, 472 nt
Filed under: uncultured bacterium
Lineage: Bacteria
Description: partial 16S ribosomal RNA
Rfam family: Bacterial small subunit ribosomal RNA
Source: RNAcentral
GACGAGCGCUGGCGGCGUGCUUAACACAUGCAAGUCGAACGCUGAAGCUUGGUGCUUGCACUGGGUGGAUGAGUGGCGAACGGGUGAGUAAUACGUGAGUAACCUGCCCUUGACUCUGGGAUAAGCCUGGGAAACUGGGUCUAAUACUGGAUACGACAUGUCACCGCAUGGUGGUGUGUGGAAAGGGUUUUACUGGUUUUGGAUGGGCUCACGGCCUAUCAGCUUGUUGGUGGGGUAAUGGCUCACCAAGGCGACGACGGGUAGCCGGCCUGAGAGGGUGACCGGCCACACUGGGACUGAGACACGGCCCAGACUCCUACGGGAGGCAGCAGGGGGGAAUAUUGCACAAUGGGCGGAAGCCUGAUGCAGCGACGCCGCGUGAGGGAUGACGGCCUUCGGGUUGUAAACCUCUUUCAGCACGGAAGAAGCGAAAGUGACGGUACGUGCAGAAGAAGCGCCGGCUAACUACGUG